This is a long non-coding RNA of Heterocephalus glaber (naked mole-rat), 1979 nucleotides long. Lineage: Eukaryota; Metazoa; Chordata; Mammalia; Rodentia; Bathyergidae. The record is from Ensembl.
GGAAAUGCUGUGUACUGAGUGCUGGCCGGGUCGUGCCCUUUUACCCAUGUGUACAGUUUUCCGAAGAGCUUGGCCCAGACAGCCCUAGUGCCUCUGUAUAUAGAUGAAGGUUGUGAGGCUCAGAGAAGGUAAAUGAGGAGCCUGAGGACAUCAGCCUGCCGAGCUCAGGGGCUCCUCGCCCUGCACCCAGCAGCCUCUGGUGUCCCAAGCUGUGGCCUGGCCCAGGGUGGAGGACAUGGCUGACCCAGGUCUCUUGGUGCUGUUUGUCUGGCAACACCUGACGAGGUCUCCUUUUCUGCACCCAUUCCUUCAUUCCUGAGCAUGCUAGGCUGUGUGCUGGCUCCUGGGCAGAACACACUGGAUGAGCCAGGUGCCGUCCUUCCCAUUCAGAGCCUGAAGCUAGUGGGGACCCUAAGGAGAUUCAGGGACAUCCAGCUUUAUGGCUGGGAGUAAUUUUAAAUCCAGCCUCUCUUCAACUUUCACACACCACCUCCACCUGUUCUUCAGUGUGGUGGGGAACAGAACCUAUUGGGGCCCUCACCUUGAGGCAAGCAUGUCUUCCAGGCUGCCCAGCCACAAGGGGGUGCUGUAACAGCCGUGAGCAGGAUUUCCCAGGCUCUAGCUUGCACUCAAUGGCAGGAGCUCUGGCUCUGUUUACCAUGCCCGCAGGGACUUCAAGAGUCCCCAUUUGAGACCCAUGCUGGCCACCUGGGCCACCAUUUGUCUCCCCUCCUGCUCCAGGUGUAUGGGGAAGACCUGUCUGCCUUCACCUAGGCCAUGUCUUGAUGCUGCCCAAGAAGCCACAUCUUGUGCACAUCUGGUGCAGGGGAUCCUUGCACCAGGCUGGGCAUGAGCCAAGGUUCUCUUCCACGAGCGGAUCCUUUUCCAAGUGGGAACGCCUGGAGAGCCAGGGACUUGAAUCUUUUGGGGGUCUGGCCAAGUUGCCCGGAUUGAGCUGGAACUUGCUGCAGGUGUGCGCUGCCAUGUCUGGUCACUCUAACUUCUUCUGGAAACUUCUGUAGUGGAUCCUGUGUGCACCACCCAGACUACCACCUCAGGACGGGACUCUCGUUCCUCUGCUCAGAGAACGGAAAUUGACACUCACGGAUGAAUCUCACUGGGAAAAUGUCCUGGCUGAAAGGAGCUUCCUGGGGCCUUCCCACUGGAGAAGGGGAGGAGGGUAACAGAGGCCUCCACACCUUUCUCAAUACAGAGCAAAUUUGAAGGGUCAUCUCCUCUCCAGGGCUCUGUGUGGGGUUGGGAAGAGACAUACAUUGAUUGAUUGAUUGGUUUUUAAUUUUUUUUUUUUUGGUACUGGGGAUCGAACUUGGGAUCUUGCACUUGCAAGGCAGGCAGCAGAACCACUGAACUAAAUCCCUAGCCCUUUAAAAAAAUUUUUUUUUGAUUGAUUAGUUUUUUGAGAUAAGGUUUCCUUAUGUAGUUCAGACUCACCUUGAACUCACCAUGUAGCCCAGGCUGGCCUUGGAUUUGCAGUGAUCUUCCUGCCUCAGCCUCCUGAGUACUGGAAUUAUAGGUAUGCACCACCACAUCUGGCUGGCUGAGAUCUUUAUUUUAAUGCAAAGGCCCCCCACCCCCACCCUCCUACUGGUGCUGAACCCAAGCACUCUUCCCAAGAAAUUUUCCCAACCAAUGAUACCUUCCUUGACCUUGCAGGCCAGGGUGGACUCCUUGAUUGCUUGCUCUUCCAAAAGGUAUGUCUCCCUGUAUGUUUUACAUCCACCCAUGCUCUCUGGCCUGUGUCUGCCUCCUCCAACCACUGUAAUGCCCACAAGGGUGGGAGCCAGAUCUGAUAUUAGUUACCGCUGCAUUCCGCCCCACUGGCACAUGGUUGAGAAAUAUUUGUUGAGUGAACAAACAAUGUUGUUAGCCAUCUAAUCUGAUUCCGUAGGAGGCCAUCAACUGUACUCAGGGCUGCAGUGUCUCAUUCUUUCAUUCAAUAAAUAUUUACAAAGAAAUUG